This 397-nucleotide ribosomal RNA is filed under the name uncultured bacterium. Its description in RNAcentral is "bacterial SSU rRNA". It matches the Rfam family "Bacterial small subunit ribosomal RNA", at positions 362 to 776 of the family's 1533-position model. The record is from RNAcentral.
UAUUGGACAAUGGCGGAAACCCUGAUCCAGCGAUGCCGCGUGAGGGAAGAAGGUUUUCGGAUUGCAAACCUCUGUGGAGGGGGACGAUAAUGACGGUACCCCUCGAGGAAGCCACGGCUAACUACGUUCCAGCCGCCGCGGUAAUACGUAGGUGGCGAGCGUUGUCCGGAAUUACUGGGUGUAAAGGGAGUGUAGGCGGGAAAGCAAGUCAGAAGUGAAAACUAUGGGCUUAACCCAUAGCCUGCUUUUGAACCUGUUUUUCUUGAGUGAAGUAGAGGCAAGCGGAAUUCCUAGUGUAGCGGUGAAAUGCGUAGAUAUUAGGAGGAACACCAGUGGCGAAGGCGGCUUGCUGGGCUUUUACUGACGCUGAGGCUCGAAAGCGUGGGGAGCAAACAGG